Molecule: ribosomal RNA, 406 nt
Filed under: uncultured bacterium
Lineage: Bacteria
Description: partial 16S ribosomal RNA
Rfam family: Bacterial small subunit ribosomal RNA
Source: RNAcentral
AUUGAACGCUGGCGGCAGGCCUAACACAUGCAAGUCGAGCGAGCGGCGGACGGUUGAGUAAUGUAUGGGGAUCUGCCCGAUAGAGGGGGAUAACUACUCGAAACGGUAGCUAAUACCGCAUACCAUAGGAUGAGCCCAAGUGGGAUUAUGUAGUUGGUGAGGUAAAGGCUCACCAAGCCGACGAUCUCUAGCUGGUCUGAGAGGAUGAUCAGCCACACUGGGACUGAGACACGGCCCAGACUCCUACGGGAGGCAGCAGUGGGGAAUAUUGCACAAUGGGCGCAAGCCUGAUGCAGCCAUGCCGCGUGUAUGAAGAAGGCCUUAGGGUUGUAAAGUACUUUCAGCGGGGAGGCGUUAACCGCAGAAGAAGCACCGGCUAACUCCGUGCCAGCCGCCGCGGUAAUAG